This is a long non-coding RNA of Thalassophryne amazonica, 207 nucleotides long. RefSeq lists it as uncharacterized. The record is from RefSeq and is a predicted model, not a curated record. The transcript is spliced from 2 exons. NCBI's taxonomy places the organism in Eukaryota, Metazoa, Chordata, Actinopteri, Batrachoidiformes, Batrachoididae.
CUAGUUAUGCAUUAUAUUGACAUUUGACAGAAAGUUAAUGAAGUAUUGAUAGAGUAGUAUUUUUAUUUUACAAACAGGCUGAAGGGCAGCCAAAAGAGGGCGCCAGAGGUACCUGGUUCAUUGGUCCUGACAGGCACAUUUCUACAGACUCCUAUGUUUUGGCCUGAUGCCUCAUUUCUUUUGGGUUUUAAAGUAAGGCUGUAACAA